CAAAAGCCCGGUUCUCGCGAUAUUCCUUGAGGUUUCCGGUGUUGUGAGUGUGUCUGCUAAAGAUGGCGGUCAGCAUCCGAGGCCGUCCUAUCCGAAGUAUACGGAUGCGAGGUCGGAAUGACAGUGGGGAGGAAAAUGUACCUCUCGAUCUCACAAGAGACCCCUCUGAGAACAUGCGAGAGAUCCUCCAGAAUGUGGCCAAACAGCAAGGAGUCUCGAAUAUGCGCAAACUCGGCCACCUGAACAACUUCAUCAAGCUGCUCUGCAAUGUCGGGCACGCUGAGGAAAGGUUUGGCUUUACCCAUGAAGAAAUUAUCAUAUGCCUCAGGUUGGCGCUGCUCAAUGAGGCUAAGGAGGUGCGGGCGGCUGGUUUGCGUGCUCUCCGCUACCUCAUCCGAGACAGUAAUAUCCUUCAGAAAGUGCUCCGGCUCCAGGUGGAUUACCUGAUUGCCAGGUGCAUUGACAUCCAACAGAGUAAUGAGGUGGAACGCACACAAGCACUCCGACUGGUGAGAAAGAUGAUCACUGUGAACGCCCUGCUCUUCCCAAGCUCAAUCACAAACUCCCUCAUAGCUGUGGGUAACGAUGGACCGCAGGAGCGGGACCGUAUGGUUCGUGCCUGCAUCGCCAUUAUCUGUGAACUUGCACUGGAGAACCCUGAGAUUGUGGCUAAGAGGGGUGGUCUCAGCACCAUCCUGAAGAAUGUAAUCGACAGCCAGCUCAGUCGUAUCAAUGAGGCUCUUAUGACCACCAUCCUGCACUUGCUCAAUCACCCACAUACACGGCAAUAUGUUCGCUCUGACGUGGAGCUUGAGCAAAUCCUGGCACCUUACACAGACUUUCACUACAGACACAAUCCAGACACAGCAGAGGGUCAACUCAAAGAAGACAGGGAGGCUCGAUUUCUGGCCAGUAAGAUGUCAAUUGUUGCUUCCCUUCGCUCUUGGUCAGGUAUCAUUAAUCUCUGCAAAUCAGGCAACUCUGGAAUCCAGUCUCUCAUUGGUCUGCUGUGUAUACCAAAUAUGGAAGUGAGGCGAGGUCUUCUGGAGGUGAUGUAUGAUAUAUUCAGACUCCCUGUUCCCGUGGUGACACAAGAUUUUAUAGAAGCUCUACUCAGUGUGGACCCCAGUAGGUUUCAGGACAGUUGGAGACUGUCAGAUGGAUUUGUAGCCUCAGAAGCAAAAAUAAUUCUUCCGCAUAGGGCACGGUCCAGACCUGAUUUGAUGGAUAACUAUCUUGCCUUGCUACUUUGUACAUUCAUCCACAGUGGACUUUUAGAGGGCCUGGUUGAAGUGAUCACUAGCAGUGAUGAUAGUGUUUCAGUGCGUGCAACCAUCCUUUUAGGAGAACUCCUGCAUAUGGCCAACACCAUUCUUCCCCACUCCCAUAGUCACCACCUGCACUGUCUGCCCACUCUUAUAAACUUGGCUGCUUCUUUUGACAUUCCUCAGGAGAAAAGACUACGGGCAAGUGCUGCAGUCAAUUACUUGAAGCGAUUUCAUGAGAAGAAGAAACGAGGCCCCAAACCCAAUAGUCUUUACUUGGACCUCAUUAUUCGCAAAUCGCUGGCUGCUCAUUACUGUCGGGACCAGCACCUAAGGCCCCAGAGGGACAUUUUUGUCAUUAAGGACACUGAGGAGGCGCUGAUGAUGAACCUCAGAGACAGUCAGAUACUCAAUCAUAAACAGAAUUUGGAAUGGAACUGGAUCCUGAUCGGUACCAUACUCAAGUGGCCAAAUACUAACCUUCGGAACAACAAAGACGAACAGAUGCACAAGUUUGUGCGAAGGCUGCUGUUCUUCUACAAGCCUAGCAGCAAGCUGUAUGCUAGCCUGGAGCUGGACCACAGCAAGGCCAGGCAAUUAACGGUGGUGGGCUGUCAGUUCAUUGAGUUCCUUCUGGAGUCAGAUGAGGAUGGCCAGGUGUAUCUUGAGGACCUGGUGAAGGACAUUGUCCAGUGGCUGUCCUCAUCCUCUGGGCUGAAACCAGACCGUAGUCUGCAGAGCAACGGCCUCCUCACCACUCUCAGCCAGCACUACUUCCUUUUCCUCGGCACUCUCUCUGCCCACCCGCAGGGUGUUAAGAUGCUUGAGAAGUGCAGCGUCUUCCAAUGCCUGCUGAACCUGUGCUCCUUGAAGAACCAGGACCAUCUUCUGAAGCUGAUCGUUUCCACACUGGACUACAGUCGGGAUGGCUUGGCACGAGUCAUCCUCUCCAAGAUCCUCACUGCUGCCACUGACAACUGCAGGCUGUACGCCACCAAGCAUCUGCGGGUGCUACUUCGAGCAAACGUGGAGUUCUUCAGCAACUGGGGUAUUGAACUGUUGGUGACUCAGCUACACGACCGCAACAAGGCCGUCUCGGUGGAGGCUUUGGACAUACUGGAUGAGGCCUGUGAAGACAAGGCAAACCUACACGCUCUGAUUCAGAUGAAGCCAGCGCUAACUCACCUGGGAGACAAGGGUGUGCUGUUGCUGCUACGGUUUUUGUCCAUUCCAAAGGGGUUCUCCUAUCUAAAUGAAAGGGGAUAUGUAACUAAACAACUGGAAAAAUGGCAGAAGGAAUACAACCUGAAGUAUGUGGACCUCAUAGAGGAACAGCUAAAUGAAGCACUCACUACUUACCGAAAACCAGUGGAUGGAGAUAACUACGUGAGACGGAGCAACCAAAGGUUACAAAGACCAAAUGUUUUUCUUCCUGUGCAUUUGUAUGGGCAACUUGUACAUGAUAAGACAGGCUGUCAUUUGCUGGAAGCUCAGAAUGUAGUUUCAGACCUGAGCUACACAGUGCGCUGCCCAGUGCUGGACAAAUGGGAUGGCAUCAAACAGCUUAAAGCUGCUCUUUGGGCCCUGGGAAACAUUGGCACGUCUAACUGGGGUCUGAACCUGCUACAGGAAGAGAAUGUAAUUCCAGAUAUCAUCGCUCUUGCCCAUGACUGUGAGGUUCUGUCUAUUAGAGGGACAUGUCUUUAUGUUCUGGGACUCGUUUCUAAAACUAAGCAGGGAUGUGAGCUUCUCCAACUGCAUGGUUGGGAUGCAGUUAGGCACAAUCGCAGACAGCUUUGGCCUGUGGUGCCGGAUGAGGUGGAGCAGAGCCAGAACCUACAGCAGCAACAGCAACAACAACAGCAGCAACCCCUUAUCCACCUGUCAUCAGCGCCCAGCACCUUCAGCCUGAACUCUGAGUCCACCAGCUCUAGACAUAACAGCGAGAGUGACUCCACUCAGCCUAGCAUGUACAUCCUGGAUGAUGAUAAGUUAGAAAGUUCUGAACUUUCAGAGGACCAGCCACUGUACUUCAGGCCCAAACUCCUAAAGGACCGCAGCCCCUUCACCAUACUAGCCUCCAGUCGACUUGUCCGAAACCGCUUCCUCAUCUCCCUCUCUGGAAAAAAACUGCGUAGUACCAGUGACCCCAAAGGCACUGGUAGCAGCAGUAAACUCCAUGGUGAGCCCACAUUAGGAGGCCUAAGGAGGAUACGCACAGUUACAGAGCCCUCUAUAUUCUCUCAAGUACAGGGAGAUGUCUUCAGUCCUGUAUUUACUGACGGACAUCUGCCGAAAAGCCCAAGCGUUAGUCUGGAUACCUCUUUUGUAGGCAGCAAGACUUCGGAAACUCAGGGCAGCACAUCUAGUAUUGGGGAGCCGGAAGUACGUCUGAACAAAGCUGCAGAACGGAGCUCAGGGGUCGGAGACGCCCCCCGAGAGCAGACCAGUCGGGAAAGGCUGGCCGGAGAUGGCUCAACCUCUGGGGGCGGGGCUCAGUUUAAAAGUCGCAGCCAGAGUUUCAACACGGACACGACCACUAGUGGUAUCAGCUCCAUGAGUUCCAGCCCAUCCAGAGAGACGGUGGGUGGCGUGGACUCUUCCACCAUCGACACGGACUGUGUUAGCCUCAAUACAGUCAUUAGCACUCAAACUGUCAAAACACUUCACUCUCUCACGCCCCAGUCCAACCAUCUUCCCCUGUCCAAAUCUAACUCGGUACUGCUGAUGCCACCAGGUUCUUCUCAUACUUUGCCACGCAGGGCUCAGUCCCUUAAAUCGCCUUCUGUCACGACCAUUUCAAGCCUGACAGACUGUAGCUUCAUGUACACCAGCCCUCGGGACGCGCUGGGCUACGCUACCCUCAAACGACUACAGCAGCAGCGCAUUCACCCCUCCCUUUCCCAUAGCGAGGCGCUUGCCUCGCCUGCCAAAGACGUGCUCUACACCGAUGCCAUCACUAUGAAAACUGGCAGCCUGGACUCCAGACUCACACCACGCAGGUUUCUCAAGGCUUUGAGUUUUGCAUCUCUGGAUAAGGAGGAUCUUCUGAGCCCUAUCAGUCAAACCUCCCUGCAGCGCUCCUCCUCAGUGCGUUCAAUGGUGUCCAGUGCCACAUAUGGCAACUCCGAUGACUACAUUGGCCUUGCACUGCCAAUGAACAUCAACAGCAUGUUCCAGAUUAAAGACAUACCGUACUUCCAGAAGAGGACAAGUCCACCGUCAGAGGACCGAUCAGCAAAGUUCUUCUCGGGAGAUGCAGAUGGUUCCAGUGAAGGAUCCAGGCAUUCUGUUCUGCGAUCUCAGCUUAGUAUCACGGAGCUGAUUGCAGUGAGCCGUUCAGACCAGCACAAGCUGCUGGGUGCGGAGGAGACCGGCCUGCAGGAGCACAAUGAGGAGAACUGUCUUUACUGUGCAGGGCUCUACGUGCUUGGGUGUAAUUUAAACACUCCCACACAAAACCGCACAGACUAUCCCGAUGCUCCAUUCUCAGAAUGGUGCAAUCAGUCCUUACACAACCUGGACGUCAUGCCUCAGUCUAAGUACUCGGGAGUGUCUGGCUGCAGCGACGCGGUCUCUCAGGGCUCUGGUGGCAGCACACGCAGCACCGAGCUUGUUCUUGGGGUGAAAAAUAUUCCAGAGGAUGCUCCAGCGUGCCGUGUUCUUCUGAGGAAGGAGGUUCUUCGGCUGGUCAUCAAUCUGAGCUCCUCAGUGGGGACCAAAGGGAAUGAAACCGGACUCCUCACAAUCAAGGAAAAGUUUCCUUAUGCGUUUGAUGACAUCUGUCUGUAUUCCGAAGUUUCAUACUUGUUGGCCCAUUGCAUGUUCAGACUGGCUUCACGACGCUUCAUUCAGGAGCUCUUUCAAGAUGUUCAAUUCAUUCCGAUGUACGAAGAGGCUGAGAGCAUUCUGUCAAUGCCCAAGAAAUCUACCACAGUAGAUCUUCCACCAGAGCCGUGAUCCUCCAAGCGUUUUUCUCUUCCCCAACGCAGCAAGUUGUUGAUCUCUUUCUUGGCCUGAACAUGCGAAGAUGAAUACGCAAUAAGAGACUAGGGCUAUGAAACAGACAUGGGUGGAUUGAGACAGUCACGGGGUACAUUUCCACCGAGAGAGAAAAAGCGGCCUAGGCGUAUGAUUGCACGUAACAAAAGCAUUUUUUUUCCCUGAGUGGAUCCCUCAACACUACAACAUUCCAGCUGUUUUCUUUGGAUUUCUCUAUUACUAAUUCAGUUUUUUUUAAAUAUGAAAUGGCUUUCACAACCAGGCUGAGCAAACACUCUUAGUUCUGGUGUGAUUUGCUUUGUAAGACAAUCAUCAUUAAGUAAUAAUAAUUGUCAGCAACUGCCAGGUUUAAAAAAAAAAAAAAUGUAAUUUCCCUUUUGUACCUGACUCAUAAAAGGUAUUUUCUGCUUAUUGAUUUUUAUCUUGACGUAGCGCAUAGCAAUCCCUGAAUAAAUGUAUGUACAUGUAUUUGAUGGUGUUGAUACACAAUAAUGCAAUAGCGACUGUAUUGUAUUAUUGUGUAACUUUAACUGAUUUAUGAAACGUCAUCCAAAAAAAUCUGAAUUAGGAAGAUAUAUAUAUAUUUAUUUAUUUAUUCACUUAUUUAUUGUUCGGUCCAAGCAGCUCCUCUGUCCCUUUCACUUUUUAUUUUAGCCUAUUAGCUAGGAUAAAACUGACCGUGUGUUAUUUAUGUCUGACAGUCAGUGUAUGUGAAGACAACUGGCUUCAAAAGAGGAAGUUAAAGUGCAUUUCACCACUGCUAUUUUGCAGUUUUACUCUACUCUAAGUAAUUUUAGAUAUUUUUAACUAACCCAUAGAAAGUUUUCUCUUUCUGUAGCGAAAAUCAGUAAUUAUUGAAGCAUUAAUAAAACCAAGAUUCGCCAAACAUAUAUUUGUACAUGAGAAUACCUUUUGUACUUUAUUCUCUCUUUCGGAUUGCUAAUAAUGCUUUUUUUUUUUUUUUACCUGAAUGUGAUCGGGAGAUUUUGAACGGGCAAAAAACAUAUCGAGUUAAAAAGUAAGUUUAAACUGACCAGACAUGAUUGAGAAUGAUCCUUAAUAUAUGACAUGUUCUGCUUAAAUUCAACUGACCGUCAUCCAUAAACUACUAAACUUUAUCAUGGUCAAUUCUCAGUAUUUGACAUACCAAUUAUGGUUUAAUAAGAUUUCGAAAUGUCUUCAGGGUUAGGAUGAAUCUAGUUUAACAUUGCAUUAAAAAAAAAAAAAAACAUUACCAAAAAUGCUUAGAUCCCACUUUGUAAGUGUAAAUUUGAGGUUCAUUUGAAUUAUAUCUAUGCAAUGUGCCUGUUAAUUCUGUAUGCACAAAUGACUUGUUAUUGAAGAUAAGACGAUCACUUCAUUUUCUUGGCUGGACCAUUUAUAUUAUUUAGGCAGCUUUAAUUAUUUUGCCUUAUUUGUAUUAGCUUUAACCCUAACUUUUAGAAUUAAUGAAUUUGCCCUUUUUUCUUGUUUUAUUUAUUAUAGAAACUAAUAAAUCUGCCUUUGCCUGCCUUGGCUUUUGGAUUAAGCAUCAGGUUUAAACUUCCAUUUAUUUUUUUCUAUUGUAAAAACUGAGUCUGUUAUGGCCAGCAAUAAUUCUAGUUAUUGUUACAGUAUUUCCUUUUAGGCCUCCGGGGAAUUUAAGUGCAUGUGCAUUCUGACCCUUAUCCGCAUAGAACAAAAGAAAAGAAAUAUGGGAACUGUCCAAGAGCAACAGAUAAUGUUUGGGAUGGAACAUAUGAUGCAGUCUUUUUUUAAAUUAUAUACUGGCUUGACAUUGAACAAUAAUCAAGCCACUUAUAAAAUAUUAUUUUUUAACAAAAUAAAUCUGGAAUCUGCCCCUAAUAUUUUCAGAAGUGUUCUUGAAUAAAUAAUUUCCACAAAGUUAUUAGAGUGUGUGGUGAAAAUAUCCGAUAAUGCCAGAAGGUUGGGUCUUUUUCCACUGGGUUAAAUCAUGUUUUAUUAUUUUCUUGCUUCCAUUUUUCACUAGGGGUUAUGUGCAACCCAUGACUGGAAGCCAUUGUCAAAUUGUUUUAAAAUAAUUUUUGAAAUAAAAAAUGUACUGGUGUUUUUAAAAUCUUAGAAAUAAUAACGAGCGCCAAUUCUUGCAGAGUUAAUUGUAUUUGUGGAACAAGUCCCAAGUAUUUUAAAGGGGCUGUUUUCUCCAUCACUGUUAAUGCUAAGAGUGUAAAGGAAAUGCAUAUAUUUUAAAUGUACAUUUGUUUGUUGUGCAACAAACUAACUGCACCUUUCAGUGGGUUUUUUUUUCUUCCCUUUUCUUUUAACUGCACUCAUGAUUUUGCAGAGCACUGUAUGAAAUGUAAGCACCAUUUAAUAAUGAAAUUGCAGAGACUGAUGCAAGAAGUGUUAUUUAUAUUUUUCCUGAAGGGAAAAAGUAUCUAAAACUGUUGUACAUACUUAAAAUGUUUCUUUAAUUGUAUAAUUUAAUGUGUUUUGGGCGGCAUUAGCUAUGGGCCUUGAGAAUCUAAUGAAAGGGAUGAGUCCGUGAUAAAAAAAAUAAAGUAAACUUCAAUUUC
RNA transcript from Onychostoma macrolepis, 7804 nucleotides. It is a transcript of the gene named RPTOR independent companion of MTOR, complex 2b, with no coding region annotated. The transcript has 39 exons. Lineage: Eukaryota; Metazoa; Chordata; Actinopteri; Cypriniformes; Cyprinidae. The record is from RefSeq and is a predicted model, not a curated record.